This 731-nucleotide long non-coding RNA is filed under the name Corvus moneduloides (New Caledonian crow). RNAcentral's name for it is "lncRNA (ENSCMUG00000019285.1)". Lineage: Eukaryota; Metazoa; Chordata; Aves; Passeriformes; Corvidae. The record is from RNAcentral.
AGAAUGCUAGUAAGUUCUUUCAUAUUAACAGCAUCUCAAAAUACCUUGGCGUAGAUUGAUCCUUCACUGAUUUCUUCUGACUUGUCUGGAAGGCCAAGUGUCUUUCCUGUCACUGGUAGCAUUGCUGAAGGAAGAAUAACAAGAAAUUCAGGCCAGCUCUCUAAAACUGUAUACAGCAAACACACCCAGGUUAUAUGUUUAACCCUGUAACUCAGAAUAGCAAGCAGGCAGGUGAGAGACUAAAUAAGAUUAAGAGACAGCAGCAUCAGCUAACCUAUUGUAGUGUUGGUGGGAGGUGGAGAGGCAGGAGAAUCUGUGCUGUAGCAGCCAAGCACACCUCCAGUGUUGUCUGCUAGGUAUGAGGGUAUUUCAGAUUGCAUGGUGGAGGGAGGUGUCAUUUAUCAGGGUCCUCUUUUAGAGGUACAUGAUUUGUGAAGGAGUGGCUGCUGAAAAAAAGGAGUAUGGACAAACCUGCAAAUAAGUACUGCUCGUAUUUCUCCUCUGAUUUCUUCUGUUGCGUUACUUGGGAGUCACCACCAACUUCUGUAUCUUCAUAUGGCAAAAGCAGAAUCUCGAUGUUAAUGGACCACUUACUAGGGACAACACAAAAUGCCUACGUUCAGUGGGUGCCUCCUCUGGAGUGCAGGUGGUGGCACCUGGGCUGUGCUGGGGGAGCUGCCCAUGCCCCCUACCAUGAGGAAGUCUGCUGGAGCUGCACAAAGUACCUUUGA